ACAUCCAGAGAAUUUAGCAGAGAUGCUUUAGUGCCUUCGGGAACUCUGAGACAGGUGCUGCAUGGCUGUCGUCAGCUCGUGUUGUGAAAUGUUGGGUUAAGUCCCGCAACGAGCGCAACCCUUAUCCUUUGUUGCCAGCGCGUAAUGGCGGGAACUCAAAGGAGACUGCCGGUGAUAAACCGGAGGAAGGUGGGGAUGACGUCAAGUCAUCAUGGCCCUUACGAGUAGGGCUACACACGUGCUACAAUGGCGCAUACAAAGAGAAGCGACCUCGCGAGAGCAAGCGGACCUCAUAAAGUGCGUCGUAGUCCGGAUUGGAGUCUGCAACUCGACUCCAUGAAGUCGGAAUCGCUAGUAAUCGUAAAUCAGAAUGUUACGGUGAAUACGUUCCCGGGCCUUGUACACACCGCCCGUCACACCAUGGGAGUGGGUUGCAAAAGAAGUAGAUAGCUUAACCUUCGGGAGGGCGUUUACCACUUUGUGAUUCAUGACUGGGGUGAAGUCGUAACAAGGUAAGCGUAGCGAG
This 526-nucleotide ribosomal RNA is filed under the name uncultured bacterium. RNAcentral describes it as "bacterial SSU rRNA". It matches the Rfam family "Bacterial small subunit ribosomal RNA", at positions 984 to 1509 of the family's 1533-position model. The record is from RNAcentral.